AUGGCAAGCACCUACCUCUCAAGCUUCCAGGCCACCGCCCGUAGCGGCGGCGCGUCACCGAGGCCGAGGCCAAGAGUGGUGACAUGCCACGCCUCCGAGCCGUCGGGCCGGCGAUCAGCUUGCCUCAGUCUAGGUCUCGGCCUUGCCACCGCCGCUCAGCUCCACACAGCGCCCGCCCGCGCCACCGCUGACGCCGACGAGGACCCGGAGCCGGCCAACAACGGCUGGUGGCUCACCGAGUUCCCCCUGCCAGUGCCCAAGAUCCGCAACAAGGAGAUCAACAAUGGCGAGACAGGGACGCGAUCCUUUGUGAAGAACGGCAUCUACAUGGCGGACAUCGGGCCAAGCUUCGCGGCGCACGCCUACCGGGUGCGCAGCUCCGCCUUCGACCUGCUGGCGCUGGAGGACCUGCUCGGCAAGGAGGCCUCCAACUAUGUCAACAAGUACCUCCGCCUCAAGGCCACCUUCAUAUACUACGACUUCGACAAGCUCAUCACCGCGACAGAUCCCGACGCCAAGCCGCCGCUUCUCGACCUAGCCAACCGCCUCUUCCACAGCUUCGAGAAGUUGCAGGCGGCCGUCACCACCAAGGAUGACGCUGACAUAGGAUCCUGCUAUGCUGACUCAAAGCUCAUACUGCAGGAAGUCAUGACAAGAAUGGCCUAG
RNAcentral lists this ribosomal RNA (666 nucleotides) under Triticum aestivum (bread wheat). Its description in RNAcentral is "partial small subunit ribosomal RNA". Lineage: Eukaryota; Viridiplantae; Streptophyta; Magnoliopsida; Poales; Poaceae. The record is from RNAcentral.